This 72-nucleotide transfer RNA is filed under the name Streptococcus pneumoniae. RNAcentral describes it as "tRNA-Gln". It matches the Rfam family "tRNA". Rfam says of the family: Transfer RNA (tRNA) molecules are approximately 80 nucleotides in length. The record is from RNAcentral. Lineage: Bacteria; Bacillati; Bacillota; Bacilli; Lactobacillales; Streptococcaceae.
UGGGGUAUAGCCAAGCGGUAAGGCAAGGGACUUUGACUCCCUUAUGCGUUUGUUUGAAUCCAGCUACCCCAC